RNAcentral lists this long non-coding RNA (1842 nucleotides) under Amborella trichopoda. RNAcentral describes it as "long non-coding RNA (ATRI_LNC005005)". The record is from RNAcentral. Lineage: Eukaryota; Viridiplantae; Streptophyta; Magnoliopsida; Amborellales; Amborellaceae.
UCUCGAACAUCAGAAUUAGAAUCAACGGGUAGGCUAGUAUAGUAGGUAGUGGCGAAAGCAAUCUCUGAGUGGCCCACGUGAGAGCGGUCUUCUCUAGAGAUGAAUAACGAGACUCGUAAUCUGUGAACUUCUUAGCUUAGGUAAUAGAUCGCUCCUUUCUCCCUGUCUCGUCAUGUUGACCAUUUACCAUUGAGUUCUCGUUCACUGAAAGAUACAUAAUCUGGGGUCGGCCCGGGAGUGGGCGCGUGGGUGGAUUUAGAAGGCACUUUUGAAUUCUAUCGAAGGCAAGCUGGCACUGAUCAAUUGCUUUGGCCCUUACUAGUUUGCUCGCAAAUUGGAGCUUUUUUUUCUUCAUUAUAGUAACUUCUAGCUUACUUUAUGAAACUGCCACUACUCAAAUGGUUUUUUUACAACGCUGCUGAAAAACAACAGCGCGCUACUUAUAGCACUUUGUUGUUCUCGCUGCGUAAAGUGGAGCUCGUCGCUUUUCCGUAUCUUUGCGGGGUUUCAGGCUCCAACUCGAAAAAAACCCUCCUAGGGGGCACUUGGACAACUCAUUAGAGAAAAAGGGGCAUGAGAUUCAAAAAUCCCUAAACUUGCUGCACUUCCUGAGAUGAGAAAAGAAGUCGUCUUGGUAUUGGAUCCGCUCUUCUGUUAGCAUGAACAUGAAUUCUCUUAUUUGUCAAACUAUCCGGAGUCGACCAGAGCAAUCUAACAUGUAUCAAGAACUUUCUUCCAAUGGGGGGUCCCUUAUCCCCGUUGAAUAUACCGUCCUUCCGUUGUUAUUCAUCGCUUUCUCUUUUUUUUACUUGAACACUCAUUAGGUCUACCACCCCCUCUUCCAUCUUGGAUUUUCGAUUCAUGUUCUUGAAUUUCAUUGAAUGCGUUCACUGGAGAAGGUUCGGUUCAUUUGGAAAAGAGGUCAGUCUUAGGGGAGACCAUGCGAAUGGUUGAAUUGAUGACAAAGCUUCGAUCUCUUCGACUGAACCUGAAGGAGACUUCGAUCAUUCAACUUUAGCUUCUGAAGGAAUCAUGUCACUUGGAAUUCCGGAAAGUUCAUCUUCUCUUUCAGAUCCUGGCCUUGGUAGAACUUGUCUUUGAUUUACAGGUUCGAUUGUUAAGCAUAUAGCUUGUAACUCAAUUUCAUCGAACCUUUCUUUUGGCUUCCUUAUGUCACCUUCCCUUGAACAGUGUAAAGCAUCUGCGACUCCUGACUCAAGACAGGCGGCCGGUAACUUCAUUGCUAGAUAGAUCAUGGGGUUCCUUUUCUUUAUGCGCUCAGUCCCUUGCUUCUUCAGUAGGGCAGAUCAAGUGAAUGGUAAGCUAAGACGAAAGCCCUACCGGUCGAUAAUCACUAUUCCCUCAAUGCCUUCCAUCGGCCUGCCUUCUUUAUAAACCUUCUGGCGCCUUUCCUUCUUCCCUCUCUGAGUUAGACUCCUUAAAGAGAAUAGGCAUCCAUCCAUUGGUUUACGCUUUGUUCUAAAAUAAAGGAAGCUCGAUCGGAGUUUCGUUCCCUUAUCUUGAAGAACUUCUUUUCUUAUCUUUCUUGCAUCCGAAAUAAGGGGCUCGACAGAGAACGGGUGAACUCGCCUCUUGAAGAUUUCUUACCGCGAUCUGAGACAACUCCUUACAAACCUUCGAAUCCUUCUUUCACUGACUACUAGGGAAGGGAAACUAAGCUGUAGCUGUAGUUGGCAGUUCGAGUUCUGGACGGAUGGGACUUGAAGCUAACAAGUAAUAACAAGUAAGUGUGCUCCGAGUUCGACCCCUGAGUUCUUGUUCUUGUGAUAGGAAGAACUGCAGUUCGUAAGUGUGAAAAAACUUCUGAGUUCUAGUUCUUAG